AUGGCAGGCGGCCGCGGCCGUGGCCGCGGCGACGGAAGGAACCCGGCGACCUCCUCCUCCUCCUCCUCCUCCCGGCAGCGGAAGGCCCGGGGCUCGCGCGACUUCGGUCCUGAAACUGAAAGGUCCUUGGAACCUCAAAAGGAAGGGCCAAGUUCAUCUUCUCCCUCUGUUAGCAGUAAAAAACCGCAGAUGGUUACACCAGUUCUACCAAAGUCUCUAGAUUCACCAGUUCAACCAAGAAAGCCUCUCAAUUCACCGCUGAUGAUGGCUAAACAAGUUCAUCCACCGAAAUCUCAAUAUCCACUGGUCCAAACGGUUGCAUCGAUUCAAAUAUCAAAACCUCUAAACUCCAGUAGUGCUUCAUGUGGCUCUGGAACUGUGGGGUCUCUAGAUUCACCAGUUCAACCAUGGAAGUCUCUCGAUUCACCGCUGAUGAUGGCUGAACAAGUUCAACCACCGAAAUCUCAAGAUUCACUGGUCCAAAUGGUUGCAUCGAUGCAACUAUCGAAACCUCUAGACUCCAGUAGCGCUUCAACUGGCUCUGGAGCUGUGGGGUCUGAUUUAGGAGCUGCUCCAUUUGACAUAUGCAUGGGUAACAGCAAAGGCAUUUUCAAGCUAAAUCGCCCUUUGCAUGAGAUCAACAAAGAAAAACGGCUGCGCGAAAGGGAGCUUUCAAACAGUGCAGCUCCGCCGCAACGUUUGAGACCUGGGAUGGUUCUACUGAAAAACUUCUUAAAGCUGGAUGAUCAGGUUGAAAUUAUCAAGCUUUGUCGGGAACUUGGUGUUGGCACAGGAGGAUUUUAUCAACCUGGCUACAGAGAGGGUGGUAAGUUAAGUCUGCGGAUGAUGUGCUUAGGGAAGAACUGGGAUCCAGAUUCAAGAUCAUAUGGAGAUAUACGACCCUUUGAUGGGGCUCAACCACCACAGAUGCCACAAGAAUUGACUAAGUUCGUGGAAGAAGCCAUUAAAGCUUCCCAUGAUUUCUUGAAACAAAGAGGCAAGGGAGCUACCGAGCCCUCUGUAGAACUUCCUCAGAUGUCACCUGACAUCUGCAUUGUUAACUUCUACACCACUGGCGGGAAGUUAGGUCUUCAUCAGGACAAAGAUGAAGAUGAAUCUAGCCUUGAAAAGAGACUGCCUGUUGUUUCCUUUUCAUUGGGCGACACUGCAGAAUUCUUGUAUGGUGAUGACAGAGAUGUUGAUAAGGCUUCAAAGAUUAAACUUGAAUCUGGUGAUGUUCUGAUAUUUGGUGGUCAAUCAAGGCUCAUAUUCCAUGGGGUCUCCGGCAUUAUGCCGAAAAGUGCACCGCUUAUGGUGACCGACAAGGCAAAUCUUCGACCCGGGCGCCUGAACCUCACAUUCAGGCAGCAUAAGUAUGAGCCCUAG
Molecule: ribosomal RNA, 1386 nt
Filed under: Triticum aestivum (bread wheat)
Lineage: Eukaryota; Viridiplantae; Streptophyta; Magnoliopsida; Poales; Poaceae
Description: partial small subunit ribosomal RNA
Source: RNAcentral